Molecule: ribosomal RNA, 810 nt
Filed under: uncultured Acidobacteriota bacterium
Lineage: Bacteria; Pseudomonadati; Acidobacteriota
Description: bacterial SSU rRNA
Rfam family: Bacterial small subunit ribosomal RNA
Source: RNAcentral
AGAGUUUGAUCAUGGCUCAGAAUCAACGCUGGCGGCGUGCCUCAGACAUGCAAGUCGAACGCGAAAGCCCCCUUCGGGGGGCAAGUAGAGUGGCGCACGGGUGAGUAACACGUAGGUAAUCUACCUUUGGAUGGGGAAUAACAACCGGAAACGGUUGCUAAUACCGCAUAAUGCAGCGGCACCUAAUGGUGACAGUUGUUAAAGCGGGGGAUCGAAAGACCUCGCGUCUGAAGAGGAGCCUGCGGCGGAUUAGCUAGUUGGUAAGGUAACGGCUUACCAAGGCGAUGAUCCGUAGCCGGCCUGAGAGGGCGGUCGGCCACACUGACACUGACAUACGGGUCAGACUCCUACGGGAGGCAGCAGUCGGGAAUUUUGGGCAAUGGGCGAAAGCCUGACCCAGCAACGCCGCGUGAAGGAUGAAAUCCUUCGGGAUGUAAACUUCGCAAGAACGGGAAGAAUAAGUAAGGGUUAAUAUCUCUUACGAUGACGGUACCGUUUGUAAGCUCCGGCUAACUCCGUGCCAGCAGCCGCGGUAAUACGGGGGGAGCAAGCGUUGUUCGGAUUUACUGGGCGUAAAGGGCGCGUAGGCGGCCACCGCAAGUCGACUGUGAAAUCUCUGGGCUUAACCCAGAACGGUCAGCCGAUACUGCGGGGCUAGAGUGCAGAAGGGGCAACUGGAAUUCUCGGUGUAGCGGUGAAAUGCGUAGAUAUCGAGAGGAACACCUGCGGCGAAGGCGGGUUGCUGGGCUGACACUGACGCUGAGGCGCGAAAGCUAGGGGAGCGAACGGGAUUAGAUACCCCCGUAGUCC